This 660-nucleotide ribosomal RNA is filed under the name Macrocheles glaber. RNAcentral describes it as "12S ribosomal RNA". The record is from RNAcentral. Lineage: Eukaryota; Metazoa; Arthropoda; Arachnida; Mesostigmata; Macrochelidae.
AAUAUAGAAGAAAGUUUUUUAAAAUUUUAAAAAAAUUAAGGUUAAGAUAAAAAAAAUUUGGCUAAUUUUGUGCCAGCUGCAGCGGUUAGACAAAAAAAUUUAUUAAUAUUUUUCUGAAAGAUAAAAAAAAUAAUUAAAAUUUAAUCUAUUUUAUUAUAAAAGUGUAAUUUUAUAAAUUUAAAAAAGAUAAAUAAAGAUUUGUAUUAUAAAAAUUAAUAUAAAACUAGGAUUAGAUACCCUAUUAUAAAAUAAUUUAGUUGUUAUUACGUGAAAAACAUUAAAACAAAAAAAUUUGGCGGUAUUUUAAUCUGUUCAGAGGAAUUUGCUCUGUUAAGGAUAUAACGCCAGUAUCUUACUCUAAAUUGUAUGAAACAGUUUGUAUACCGCUAUUUUUAUAAUAUUGAAAAAUUAUUAUAAAAAUUAUUUUUAAUAAAAAGAUUAGGUCAAGGUGCAGCUUAUUUUAGAGAUUGAGGUGAAUUACAAUAGAAUGUAUAAGUACGAAUCUAGUAAUUGAAAAUUACUAGAUAAGAAGAAUUUGAAAGUAAAUAUAAAAUAAAAUGUUAUAUUGAAUAUAGCUCUAGAAUAUGUACAUAUUGCCCGUCACUCCCAUUUAAUGUUGGGAUAAGUCGUAACAAAGUAAGGGUAUCGGAAGAUGUUCUU